RNAcentral lists this transfer RNA (74 nucleotides) under Bubo flavipes. RNAcentral describes it as "tRNA-Glu". Lineage: Eukaryota; Metazoa; Chordata; Aves; Strigiformes; Strigidae. The record is from RNAcentral.
UCAUUUCUACUCGGACUCUAUCCGAGGUCUGCGGCUUGAAAAGCCGCCGUUAACUAACCCUUAACUAUAGAAAC